CCAACCCAUUGUGACCUUACCUAUGUUCUGUUGCCUCGGCGGCGUGGUCAGCGCCCCUCUGAAAAGAGGACGAUGCCCUCCCGCCGGCAGCACCAAACUCUUUGAAUUUUACAGCGGAUUACAGUUCUGAUUUGAAAACAAAAAAACAAGUUAAAACUUUCAACAACGGAUCUCUUGGUUCUGGCAUCGAUGAAGAACGCAGCGAAAUGCGAUAAGUAAUGUGAAUUGCAGAAUUCAGUGAAUCAUCGAAUCUUUGAACGCACAUUGCGCCCGGCAGUAAUCUGCCGGGCAUGCCUGUCCGAGCGUCAUUUCAACCCUCGAACCUCCGUUUCCUCAGGGAAGCUCAGGGUCGGUGUUGGGGCGCUACGGCGAGUCUUCGCGACCCUCCGUAGGCCCUGAAAUACAGUGGCGGUCCCGCCGCGGUUGCCUUCUGCGUAGUAAGUCUCUUUUGCAAGCUCGCAUUGGGUCCCGGCGGAGGCCUGCCGUCAAACCACCUAUAACUCCAGAUGGUUUGACCUCGGAUCAGGUAGGGUUACCCGCUGAACUUAAGCAUAUCAAUAAGCGGAGGAAAAGAAAGUC
RNAcentral lists this ribosomal RNA (579 nucleotides) under Scedosporium boydii. Its description in RNAcentral is "eukaryotic LSU rRNA". The stretch from base 155 to 308 matches the Rfam family "5.8S ribosomal RNA". The record is from RNAcentral. Lineage: Eukaryota; Fungi; Ascomycota; Sordariomycetes; Microascales; Microascaceae.